This 665-nucleotide long non-coding RNA is filed under the name Homo sapiens (human). RNAcentral describes it as "HSALNT0389367". The record is from RNAcentral. Lineage: Eukaryota; Metazoa; Chordata; Mammalia; Primates; Hominidae.
CUGGGAUGCCCUGGGUUUCCUCACCUUUUACUAUGUGAGAGAGGGACAGAGGAUGGGAAUACUGGAGAGGUAAGCAAACUAUUCGUAAACCAUGUAUACUAUCUCAGGCUUUGCACCCAAGUAAGGACAUUAUGGUGAAAAAGAUCAAGUCCUUGAUCACGGCCCAGAGGAAGAGACACAAUCACAGGGAACAGGGUCAGGGAAAGCACCAAGGGUAUUUGAGCAGGGUCUUGAGAUGGUCUUGGAUCAUCCAGAUGGGCCUGAUGUAAUCACAGAAGUCUUCAUAAGAGGGGCUCAGGAAGGUCAGACAGAAGAGAAGGCAGUGUGAUGACGGAGGCAAAGACUGGAGUGAUACAGCCACAAGCCAAGGAGUGAUGGUAGCCUCUAGAAUUUCACCAGGAAGAGAAGGGACGGGAGUGUGGCCAUUUACCUCCCAUCACAGCCAGUCCUCUGCUCCUCCAACUGAAAGAUAAAAUGGCCACACACAUGUCACUGCGCCAGUGCCAUCUGGAAGCUCACCUCAGGCGCCAGGGCACCCCGAGCCCCAUCAGCCACUCUCUGAGGAGACACUUUGUUGAUCCUGUGUACUUUUCUCAACUCAAUGCCCUUCCAGAUGCAGAGGGACGAAGGCCAACCUUCUCUUUCCCCUGAGGCCUGGCUUGAAG